AUAUCCCCGCAAAUUCAUUCUGUUUGCAUUCAAACAGUCAUUCAACCCCAAAAAUCUAGACCAAAUAUUGUCUUCCCUUCUUGGCACAAACAAAGAAGAGACGCGGGAUAAAGAUACUCCGACGAUUGAUACAAUAUUUAUCAACGGGAGGUCUUACUUUUUUU
This is a non-coding RNA of Colpidium striatum, 164 nucleotides long. The record is from Rfam. Lineage: Eukaryota; Ciliophora; Oligohymenophorea; Hymenostomatida; Turaniellidae.